GGGGCUGACUGGAUUUGACAGCAAUUGUAAUUCUAUAAUAAGCAUGUCGAGCAUUGUAUUUUAGCUCGUAAAUAUCAAAAUGCAAAUUUUUAAUUGGCGAAUAUAAUUACGCUUUAGCUGCCUAAUUUAUAUAAUUAGAUAAGCUUUUGUCUCUUUUAAAGGACCUCCUGAUUCCUUUAAUUCAUGAGGCAUAAUCAAUUUCAGGAUAGUUUGUUUAUUGCUUUAGUAAACAAGCAAAACUUUUAAAGCUAAGGACUUGGUUUGGUUGCUUUUUUCCUGCCUUUUCUCUACAAUUAAAAGAAGAUAAGCAUGUAGAAAUUUAUUUAAUUCCUUGUUUGGACGUGGGUUCGAAACCCACCAGCUCCACUU
RNAcentral lists this transfer-messenger RNA (369 nucleotides) under Flavobacteriales bacterium. It matches the Rfam family "transfer-messenger RNA". From Rfam's summary of the family: Bacterial tmRNA, also known as 10Sa RNA or SsrA, is named for its dual tRNA and mRNA-like properties. Its role is to liberate the mRNA from a stalled ribosome. To accomplish this part of the tmRNA is used as a reading frame that ends in a translation stop signal. The record is from RNAcentral. Lineage: Bacteria; Pseudomonadati; Bacteroidota; Flavobacteriia; Flavobacteriales.